RNAcentral lists this ribosomal RNA (737 nucleotides) under uncultured Lactobacillus sp. RNAcentral's name for it is "bacterial SSU rRNA". It matches the Rfam family "Bacterial small subunit ribosomal RNA", at positions 760 to 1502 of the family's 1533-position model. The record is from RNAcentral. Lineage: Bacteria; Bacillati; Bacillota; Bacilli; Lactobacillales; Lactobacillaceae.
UAUGGGUAGCAACAGGAUAGAUACCCUGGUAGUCCAUACGUAAACGAUGAAUGCUAAGUGUGGAGGGUUCCGCCCUUCAGUGCUGCAGCUAACGCAUUAAGCAUUCCGCCUGGGGAGUACGGCCGCAAGGCUGAAACUCAAAGGAAUUGACGGGGGCCCGCACAAGCGGUGGAGCAUGUGGUUUAAUUCGAAGCUACGCGAAGAACCUUACCAGGUCUUGACAUACUAUGCAAAUCUAAGAGAUUAGACGUUCCCUUCGGGGACAUGGAUACAGGUGGUGCAUGGUUGUCGUCAGCUCGUGUCGUGAGAUGUUGGGUUAAGUCCCGCAACGAGCGCAACCCUUAUUAUCAGUUGCCAGCAUUAAGUUGGGCACUCUGGUGAGACUGCCGGUGACAAACCGGAGGAAGGUGGGGAUGACGUCAAAUCAUCAUGCCCCUUAUGACCUGGGCUACACACGUGCUACAAUGGAUGGUACAACGAGUUGCGAACUCGCGAGAGUAAGCUAAUCUCUUAAAGCCAUUCUCAGUUCGGAUUGUAGGCUGCAACUCGCCUACAUGAAGUCGGAAUCGCUAGUAAUCGCGGAUCAGCAUGCCGCGGUGAAUACGUUCCCGGGCCUUGUACACACCGCCCGUCACACCAUGAGAGUUUGUAACACCCAAAGUCGGUGGGGUAACCUUUAGGAACCAGCCGCCUAAGGUGGGACAGAUGAUUAGGGUGAAGUCGUAACAAGGUAACCA